RNAcentral lists this ribosomal RNA (396 nucleotides) under uncultured bacterium. RNAcentral describes it as "bacterial SSU rRNA". It matches the Rfam family "Bacterial small subunit ribosomal RNA", at positions 618 to 1011 of the family's 1533-position model. The record is from RNAcentral.
AGACUGCGUUUGAAACUGUAUAUCUUGAGAGCAGCAGAGGAAGGCGGAAUUCCUGGUGUAGUGGUGAAAUACGUAGAUAUCAGGAAGAACACCAGUGGCGAAGGCGGUCUUCUGGGCCGCAUCUGACGCUCAUGUACGAAAGCUGGGGUAGCGAACGGGAUUAGAUACCCCNGGUAGUCCCACGCUGUAAACGAUGGACACUAGGUGUUGGCGGUUCGAAUCCGUCAGUGCCGGAGUUAACGCAUUAAGUGUCCCGCCUGGGGAAUACGGUCGCAAGACUGAAACUCAAAGGAAUUGACGGGGGCCCGCACAAGCGGUGGAGCAUGUGGUUUAAUUCGAUGCAACGCGAAGAACCUUACCGAGAAUUGACAUCCCGUGACUACCUGUGAGAGCAGG